ACCUAACAAUGAUUGUUACAAUCUGUAUUCCGUUAACAAGUUUUAACAAUCUUCUUAAAGAUAUGUUGUUAAAGAUUAUUGUUAUGAUAGCAACAAGAUUUGAGUAGUUGUUAAAAUGUUGCUAAGAAGUUGAAUUUGCCAAAUGAAGAAGAUGGAUCCUGUGGCAUUUAAUUUUAUUGUAAAUUUUAUUGGUAAUUUUGAAAAUAUGAAUAAACAACAAAAACUGAAAUUAUAUCGGAGAAAUUUGAGAGAUGCCUCUAAUCCAUUUGAACUCCCAGAUUUUAAUUUUGUUAAGUUAUUUAGAUUAAAUAAACAUCUUACGAGAAGACUAAUUAUGGAGUUACAACAGUUUGAGGAUCAGAGACCGAAACGAAUCGACUGUUCCUUUUUUUUUACAGGUACUAAUCCGUUUAAAUUUCUACGGACAUGGAAGUUACCAAUUAUGUAUUGGAGAGGAUUUAAAUUUAGGUGUAAGUCAACCAAUGGUGAGCAGGAUUUUAGCAAAAAUAAGUAACAUUUUUGCAUUUCAUUUGCUCCCUAGAUAUGUAAAAUUCCCUGUAACAGUACAACAUAUUUUAGAAGUAAAGCAAGGAUUUAUGGAUAAAUUUGGUUUUCCCAAUACAAUUGGAGCCAUAGACUGUACGCAUAUCUCAAUUAUUUCACCCGUAGAUGAGAACCAUGCUCCAUCAAUUACAUAAUUAAAUCGUAAAGGUUUUCAUAGUAUUAAUCUACAAGCGAUAUGUGAUUCAAAUAUGAUUUUUUUAAAUGUCAAUGCUCGAUAUCCGGGAGCAACACAUGAUGCAGCUAUAUGGGAAGUGUCAAAUAUAAAUUUAAAUUUAUCAAGACGUUACCAAAAUGGAGAUAGAAAAACUUGGUUAAUAGGCGAUUCGGGCUACCCCAUACAGCCAUGGAUGAUGACGCCUAUCAAUGAUGCUUUGCCAAAUAGUCCAGAAGCUUUAUAUACCCAGCUACAUUGUAGAGCUAGAAAUGUAGUAGAAAGAGCCUUUGGAUCACUAAAAAGUCGUUUCAGGUGUUUGUUGAAACAUAGGACAUUACACUAUAGUCAUGCUGCGGCUGGUAAAAUUAUAUAUGCAUGCAUAGUUUUACAUAAUUUAUGUAAACAAUAUGACUUACCAGAAGUAGAAUAUGAAGAUAACGAAGAUGAUGAGGAAGGCGAUGAAGAAAUAAACCCAGUAGUGGGUGGUAAGUUUUUAUUCUGCAUUAUAUCUUAGUAUGUAAAAAAAAAUAAAUUUAGGGAUCAAUACUUUAACAGAAGGCCGU
Molecule: long non-coding RNA, 1281 nt
Organism: Anoplophora glabripennis (Asian longhorned beetle)
Lineage: Eukaryota; Metazoa; Arthropoda; Insecta; Coleoptera; Cerambycidae
Exons: 5
Source: RefSeq, a predicted model, not a curated record